UACGUAGGGUGCAAGCGUUAAUCGGAAUUACUGGGCGUAAAGCGUGCGCAGGCGGUCUGUUAAGACCGAUGUGAAAUCCCCGGGCUUAACCUGGGAACUGCAUUGGUGACUGGCAGGCUUUGAGUGUGGCAGAGGGAGGUAGAAUUCCACGUGUAGCAGUGAAAUGCGUAGAGAUGUGGAGGAAUACCGAUGGCGAAGGCAGCCUCCUGGGCCAACACUGACGCUCAU
This 228-nucleotide ribosomal RNA is filed under the name uncultured bacterium. RNAcentral describes it as "partial 16S ribosomal RNA". It matches the Rfam family "Bacterial small subunit ribosomal RNA", at positions 524 to 750 of the family's 1533-position model. The record is from RNAcentral.